RNAcentral lists this ribosomal RNA (482 nucleotides) under uncultured bacterium. RNAcentral's name for it is "partial 16S ribosomal RNA". It matches the Rfam family "Bacterial small subunit ribosomal RNA", at positions 30 to 507 of the family's 1533-position model. The record is from RNAcentral.
AUUGAACGCUGGCGGCAUGCUUUACACAUGCAAGUCGAACGGUAACAGGCCGCCAGGUGCUGACGAGUGGCGCACGGGUGAGUAAUGCAUCGGAACGUGCCCAGUCGUGGGGGAUAACUACUCGAAAGAGUAGCUAAUACCGCAUACGAUCUAUGGAUGAAAGCGGGGGACCGUAAGGCCUCGCGCGAUUUGAGCGGCGGAUGUCAGAUUAGGUAGUUGGUGGGGUAAAGGCUCACCAAGCCAACGAUCUGUAGCUGGUCUGAGAGGACGACCAGCCACACUGGGACUGAGACACGGCCCAGACUCCUACGGGAGGCAGCAGUGGGGAAUUUUGGACAAUGGGCGCAAGCCUGAUCCAGCAAUGCCGCGUGCAGGAAGAAGGCCUUCGGGUUGUAAACUGCUUUUGUACGGAACGAAACGGCUCUGGUUAAUACCCGGGGCUAAUGACGGUACCGUAAGAAUAAGCACCGGCUAACUACGUG